AAAUAACUGCAGACGGUA
Molecule: ribosomal RNA, 18 nt
Filed under: Caecosagitta macrocephala
Lineage: Eukaryota; Metazoa; Chaetognatha; Sagittoidea; Aphragmophora; Sagittidae
Description: partial 5.8S rRNA
Source: RNAcentral